This 1466-nucleotide ribosomal RNA is filed under the name uncultured Bordetella sp. RNAcentral's name for it is "partial 16S-23S ribosomal RNA intergenic spacer". It matches the Rfam family "Bacterial small subunit ribosomal RNA". The record is from RNAcentral. Lineage: Bacteria; Pseudomonadati; Pseudomonadota; Betaproteobacteria; Burkholderiales; Alcaligenaceae.
AAAUUGAUCAUGGGUCAGGAUUAAUCCGCUAUGGGAUGCUUACACAUGUGGUAAGCUGAACCGCAGCAAUGGACUUCUGGCUCCGGUGGUGAUAUGAACGGGUGAGCAAUGUAUCGGAACGUGCUCAGUAGCGGGGAGAAUUAGCGAAAAAGCAGUAGCUAAUACCGCAUACGCCCCCUUCGGGGAAAGCGGGGGACCUCGGGCCUCGCACUAUUAGAGCGGCCGAUAUCGGAUUAGCUAGUUGGUGGGGUAACGGCUCACCAAGGCGACGAUCCGUAGCUGGUUUGAGAGGACGACCAGCCACACUGGGACUGAGACACGGCCUAGACUCCUACGGAGGCAGGGAAUUUUGGACAAUGUGAAACCCUGAUCCAGCCAUCCCGCGUGUGCGAUGAAGGCCUUCGGGUUGUAAAGCACUUUUGGCAGGAAAGAAACGGCACGGGAUAACACCGUGCAACUGACGGUACCCGCAAGAAUACACCGGCUAACCACGUGCCAGCAGCCGCGUGGCACGUAGGUGCAAGCGUUAAUCGGAAUUAUUACUGGGCGUAAAGCGUGCGCAGGCGGUUCGAAAAGAAAGAUGUGAAAUCCCAGAGCUUAACCGGAACUGCAUUUUUAACUACCGAGCUAGAGUGUGUCAGAGGGAGGUGGAAUUCCGCGUGUAGCAGUGAAAUGCGUAGAUAUGCGGAGGAACAUCGAUGGCGAAGGCAGCCUCCUGGGAUAACACUGACGCUCAUGCACGAAAGCGUGGGGACAAACAGGAUUAUUAUUCUGGUAGUCCACGCCCUAAACGAUGUUCAACUAGCUGUUGGGGCCUCGGCCCGUAGCAGCUAACGCGUGUAAAGUUGACCGCCUGGGGAGUACGGUCGCAAGAUUAAACCCGUAUGAAUGACGGGACCGCACAAGCGGUGGAUGAUGUGGAUUAAUUCGAUGCAACGCGAAAACCUUACCUACCCUUGACAUGUUCAAACUCUGAAGAGAUUUGGGAGUGCUCGCAAGAGAACCGGAACACAGGUGCUGCAUGGCUGUCGUCAGCUCGUGUCGUGAGAUGUUGGGUUAAGUCUCAACGAGCGCAACCCUUUGCGUCAUUAGUUGCUACGAAAGGGCACUCUAAUGAGACUGCCGGUGACAAACCGGAGGAAGGUGGGGAUGACGUCGUGUCUCAUGGCCCUGCUGGUAGGGCUUCACACGUCAUACAAUGGUCGGGACAGAGGGUCGCCAACCCGCGAGGGGAGCCAAUCCCAGAAACCCGAUCGUAGUCCGGAUCGCAGUCUGCAACUCGACUGCGUGAAGUCGGAAUCGCCAGUAAUCGCGGAUCAGCAUGUCGCGGUGAAUACGUUCCCGGGUCUGUACACACCGCCCGUCACACCAUGGGAGUGGGUUUUACCAGAAGUAGUUAGCCUAACGGCAAGGAGGGAUUACCACGGUAGGAUUCAUGACUGGGGUGAAGUCGUAAUGAAGGUAAC